Molecule: ribosomal RNA, 448 nt
Filed under: uncultured Basidiomycota
Lineage: Eukaryota; Fungi; Basidiomycota
Description: eukaryotic LSU rRNA
Rfam family: 5.8S ribosomal RNA (bases 75-229)
Source: RNAcentral
AUCAUCAGCCCAUCGUAUGUCUCAUAGAAUGUAAAUAUAUGUCCUCGCCUUAAAAAGCGUUGAUAAACUUAUACAACUUUCAGCAACGGAUCUCUUGGCUCUCGCAUCGAUGAAGAACGCAGCGAAAUGCGAUAAGUAAUGUGAAUUGCAGAUUUUCAGUGAAUCAUCGAAUCUUUGAACGCACCUUGCGCUCCUUGGUAUUCCGAGGAGCAUGCCUGUUUGAGUGUCAUUAAAUUCUCAACUCCGAUCGAUUUGUUUCGACUUCGGAGCUUGGAUUUUGGAGCGUGCUGGCGUCGGUCGGCUCCUCUUAAAUGCAUCAGCGGAAUCUAACGUUUCGGAUGUCAGUGUGAUAAUCAUGUUGCGCUGUCUGUCUGAUCCGAAAGCCCGCUCACAAUGGUCUUCGGACAACUUCAUAUCAAAUUUGACCUCAAAUCAGGUAGGACUACCC